AAGUCGUAACAAGGUUUCCGUAGGUGAACCUGCGGAAGGAUCAUUAACACGUAUCCAACGUUAAAACAACCCCGUGAACUUUCAGCUUGCUCCUGUAGCCCGUGAAAGCAGCAAUCCCUGGUAAAUCAUUGUUGACCAGCUUUUGAGUCAGGGACCUCUGCAGAUCUCCUUUACGACAACUACAGUCUAACUUCGCCGCGCGUGAAAUUCGCACGGCACCAAAAACCGAACAACUGUUAACAAUC
RNAcentral lists this unclassified non-coding RNA (245 nucleotides) under fungal sp. RNAcentral describes it as "partial internal transcribed spacer region". The stretch from base 1 to 46 matches the Rfam family "Eukaryotic small subunit ribosomal RNA", at positions 1786 to 1831 of the family's 1831-position model. The record is from RNAcentral. Lineage: Eukaryota; Fungi.